This 1519-nucleotide ribosomal RNA is filed under the name human gut metagenome. RNAcentral's name for it is "bacterial LSU rRNA". It matches the Rfam family "Bacterial large subunit ribosomal RNA", at positions 1391 to 2925 of the family's 2925-position model. The record is from RNAcentral.
CUAAGCCGAGGCCGAAAGGCGUAGGUGAUGGACAACAGGUUGAUAUUCCUGUACCGCCAAUAAGCGUUUGAGAGAUGGAGUGACACAGUAGGAUAAGCUAACCGUACUGUUGGUUAUGUACGGCUAAGCAUUGAGGCAGUCUAAAUAGGCAAAUCCGUUUAGACAAUGCUAGGAUGUGAUGGGGAAGCCCUUCGGGGCGAAGUAGCUGAUUUCACACUGUCAAGAAAAGCUUCUAUCGAGUUUAAAGGCGCCCGUACCGUAAACCGACACAGGUGGGUGAGGAGAGUAUCCUAAGGCCAGCGAGAGAACUAUUGUUAAGGAACUCGGCAAAAUGACCCCGUAACUUAGGGAGAAGGGGUGCCUGUCUAUGACAGGCCGCAGAGAAUAGGCCCAAGCGACUGUUUACCAAAAACACAGGUUUCUGCUAAGUCGCAAGACGAUGUAUAGGAGCUGACGCCUGCCCGGUGCUGGAAGGUUAAGGGGAUCUGUUAGAGCAAUCGAAGCAGUGAACUUAAGCCCCAGUAAACGGCGGCCGUAACUAUAACGGUCCUAAGGUAGCGAAAUUCCUUGUCGGGUAAGUUCCGACCCGCACGAAAGGCGUAACGAUUUGGGCACUGUCUCAACAAUAGACUCGGUGAAAUUGUAAUCCCGGUGAAGAUGCCGGGUACCUGCGACAGGACGGAAAGACCCCAUGGAGCUUUACUGUAGCUUGACGUUGGGUCUUGGUACUACAUGUACAGGAUAGGUGGGAGACUAUGAAGCAUGGACGCCAGUCUGUGUGGAGUCAUCCUUGGGAUACCACCCUUGUAGUACUGGGAUCCUAACCAUAGGCCUUGAAUCAGGUCUUGGAACACCGUCAGGUGGGCAGUUUGACUGGGGCGGUCGCCUCCUAAAAAGUAACGGAGGCGCUCAAAGGUUUCCUCAGCACGGUCGGAAAUCGUGCGAAGAGUGUAAAGGCAAAAGGAAGCUUGAUUGCAAGACAUACAGGUCGAGCAAGGACGAAAGUCGGACUUAGUGAUCCGGUGGUACCGCAUGGAAGGGCCAUCGCUCAACGGAUAAAAGCUACCCUGGGGAUAACAGGCUUAUCUCCCCCAAGAGUCCACAUCGACGGGGAGGUUUGGCACCUCGAUGUCGGCUCAUCACAUCCUGGGGCUGUAGUAGGUCCCAAGGGUUGGGCUGUUCGCCCAUUAAAGUGGUACGCGAGCUGGGUUCAGAACGUCGUGAGACAGUUCGGUCCCUAUCCGUCGCAGGCGUAGGAAAUUUGAGAAGACCUGUCCUUAGUACGAGAGGACCGGGAUGGACGUACCUCUGGUGUACCAGUUGUUCUGCCAAGGGCAUGGCUGGGUAGCUAUGUACGGAAUGGAUAAGCGCUGAAAGCAUCUAAGCGCGAAGCCAACUUCAAGAUAAGAUUUCCCACCGUAAGGGUAAGACCCCAGGAAGACUACCUGGUUGAUAGGUCGAAGGUGUAAGUGCAGUAAUGUAUUUAGCUUAUCGAUACUAAUAGGUCGAGGACUUGACC